AGACCGAUAGCGAACAAGUAGAGUGAUCGAAAGAUGAAAAGCACUUUGAAAAGAGGGUUAAAUAGUACGUGAAAUUGCUGAAAGGGAAGCGCUCAUGACCAGACUUGGGCUCGGUGAAUCAUCCGGCGUUCUCGCCGGUGCACUUUGCCGGCCCAGGCCAGCAUCAGCUCGCCUCGGGGGAUAAAGGCUUCGGGAAUGUAGCUCCCUCGUGGAGUGUUAUAGACCGUUGCGUAAUACCCUGGGGCGGGCUGAGGUACGCGUUCUGCAAGGAUGCUGGCGUAAUGGUCAUCAGUGACCCGUCUUGAAACACGGACCAAG
RNAcentral lists this ribosomal RNA (318 nucleotides) under dematiaceous sp. CL128. RNAcentral describes it as "LSU rRNA". It matches the Rfam family "Eukaryotic large subunit ribosomal RNA", at positions 331 to 670 of the family's 3401-position model. The record is from RNAcentral. Lineage: Eukaryota; Fungi; Ascomycota.